RNAcentral lists this ribosomal RNA (283 nucleotides) under Bacillus licheniformis. Its description in RNAcentral is "partial 16S ribosomal RNA". It matches the Rfam family "Bacterial small subunit ribosomal RNA", at positions 211 to 487 of the family's 1533-position model. The record is from RNAcentral. Lineage: Bacteria; Bacillati; Bacillota; Bacilli; Caryophanales; Bacillaceae.
GCUACCACUUACAGAUGGACCCGCGGCGCAUUAGCUAGUUGGUGAGGUAACGGCUCACCAAGGCRACGAUGCGUAGCCGACCUGAGAGGGUGAUCGGCCACACUGGGACUGAGACACGGCCCAGACUCCUACGGGAGGCAGCAGUAGGGAAUCUUCCGCAAUGGACGAAAGUCUGACGGAGCAACGCCGCGUGAGUGAUGAAGGUUUUCGGAUCGUAAAACUCUGUUGUUAGGGAAGAACAAGUACCGUUCGAAUAGGGCGGUACCUKACGGUACCWACCAGA